AGUAAUGUAGUUAAAUUAAUAUUAAUUUGUCAAAUUAAAGAUGGUAAGAUUCCUC
Molecule: transfer RNA, 55 nt
Filed under: Philodromus sp.
Lineage: Eukaryota; Metazoa; Arthropoda; Arachnida; Araneae; Philodromidae
Description: tRNA-Asp
Source: RNAcentral